Molecule: RNA transcript, 3849 nt
Organism: Sander lucioperca (pikeperch)
Lineage: Eukaryota; Metazoa; Chordata; Actinopteri; Perciformes; Percidae
Gene: dner
Gene name: delta/notch-like EGF repeat containing
Exons: 14
Source: RefSeq, a predicted model, not a curated record
CUCUCCCUCAGCCUCCACACAAUCAGCCAGUCUGCUCUCAGUCAUUUUGCCUGCGCACAGCUGAAGCUCCACAUCCUAAAACAGCCUCCUCCUCUCUCUCUCUCUCUCUCUCUCUCUCUCUCUCUCUCUCACACACAUACAUACAUAGUCGCUCACACACCUCUCAGCUACUGCAUGAACAGCAGCUGCUUGAGCUCUGAGGAAAGAGGAAAAAGAUACACACAACAAAAAAAAGAAGAAAAGAAACCAGUAUAAGAAGAUGAGGAUGAGUGUUUGCAUUGCGCCGGCAGGUUCCUGCUGCCGUCCCACACAGAUCGUACAGAGCUUCACACCCCCCUUGCUUAUGCUCCUCCUGCUCCUGAGCAGCAGCAGCAGCAGCAGCAUCGGGGCCAUCCCCUCUGCCUUCCAGCUGGCCCCGGACACCCCAGCCCCGGCCGAGCCCACCCCAACCCAGGCCACACCUCGCCCGGACCCCUGCGAGGGACGACCCUGCCUCAAUGGGGGGUUCUGCCUGGCCCUUCCAUCCGCUGGCAGGCCAGAGGACACCUGGGAGUACAUCUGUACGUGCAGCGAGGGCUUUACAGGACGCAACUGUGAGUUUUUCACAGACCCUUGUGCCAGCAGCCCCUGUCUCCAUGGAAACUGCAGUCGGAGCGAAGGCAGGGAGGAGGGGGAGCCGGCCUACACCUGUGAGUGCACUGAAGGCUACGAGGGGGAGAGGUGUGAUCAGAUCCUAUUGGACCUGCCAGCUGCUGACUGGGACCCCGCCACCCCCUCCGCUCCUGAACUGGCCACCCCCGUGGCCUCCACCACCACAGCUGCCACUCAGCCGCCACAGCCAACCACCAUCCCAUCCACCACAACGCCGCCAUCUCCUACUCUGCAGCCAUGGCAACCCAAACCUGGGCAAAGGCUGCUGGUGGUGCCGUGGGAGGCAGACAGGGUGACGGAGGGUCUGCACUGUGUGAGUCCUGAGCUGUGUGAGCUGACAUCAGGAACUCUGACUCUGUCUCUGGAAGUGCCUGAAGAGACGGCUGUAAAGGUGGUGGUGAACACCAGUGGAGCUCCAGUGCUGUGGCGUGUGAAUGAAGAGGGUUUCCUUCAUUCCUCCAUUUUGAACGGCACUACGAUGUGGUUCCUGCAGGCCCCUGAUGGACUGGUGGUGCCAGACCACUCACUGUCCCUGGGACAGAACUACUUCCUCAGUGUGUUGCGCGUGGGCGCCCCCACAGCCCCGGAGGUCACCCUGUGUCUCAACUUGACAUUGAAAGCCAGCAGCUGUGUGGAGCCGGGGAGCAGCUUCAGUGACCCUCAGUGCUCCGGGAAAGGCAAAUGUAUCACACAGCCCUCUGAGAGCACUUUCUUCUGUGAGUGUGAAGACGGCUACACUGGAAUCUUCUGUGAGGAAUUUGAUGCCUGCCAUCGCCGACCUUGUCGCAACAAUGGCACGUGCACCGAUGUUAGACAGGGGGGUGAAGGACGCAACUUCACAUGCACCUGCCCACCAGGUUAUGAAGGGGAGCACUGCCAGUUGCUGGUUGACCACUGCCUUUUUCAGCCCUGCAAGAAUGGAGCCACAUGCUUCAGCAGCCUGGCCGGGCCCAGGUGCUAUUGUCCCGAAGGCUACCAGGGUGCUACGUGUGAGCAGAAAGUGGACCCGUGUGCCUCCAGCCCCUGUCACAAUAACGGGACAUGCUACGCCCAGGGCCCUGGCCCCCUGGGGUUCGGCUGUAGCUGCACAGCAGGCUUCACCGGCCCUACAUGUGCCCAGCUGGUGGACUUCUGUGCCCUAAACCCCUGCGCCCACGGGGUCUGCCGCAGUGUGGGUAACAGCUACAGGUGUAUGUGUGUCCCAGGUUACCAUGGCUUGUACUGUGAAGAGGAGUACAAUGAGUGUCUGUCUGCACCCUGCCAGAACUAUGCCACCUGUAGGGAUCUCAUCAAUGCCUAUGAGUGUGUCUGCACACCACAGUUUGAAGGCAGACACUGUGAAAUAUACAAGGAUCCAUGUCUGAAGAUGCACUGCCAGAAUGGAGGCCACUGUGAGAGUGCAGGACUCAAUGUUUCCUGUGCCUGCCCACCUGGAUACUUGGGGGAGACGUGUGAGGUCGACAUUAACGAGUGCGAGAGCAACCCUUGUCACCAUGGAGGAACCUGCAUUGACCAGUCAAAUGGCUUCACCUGUCACUGUCCACCUGGGUGGGUGGGGCCCAGCUGUGAGAUCCACCUGCAGUGGAAGCCAGCACAACACACUGAGGACACCCUGACCAACAUGCCCCGCCACUCUCUCUAUAUAAUCAUCGGAGCGCUGUGUGUGGCCUUCGUUCUCAUGCUCAUCAUCCUCAUCGUGGGCAUCUGCCGCAUCAGCCGCAUCGAGUACCAGGGCUCGUCGCGCCAUGCCUACCAGGAGUUCUACAACUGCCGCAGCAUUGACAGCGAGUUUAGCAAUGCCAUCGCCUCCAUCCGCCACGCCAGAUUUGGCAAGAAGGUCAGGCCUGCCAUGUACGAUGCCACUCCCAUCGCCUAUGAAGACUACAGUCCUGACGACAAGCCUUUGGUUACCCUCAUCAAGACGAAGGAUUUGUAAAACACAACCAUCCCCAACUCAUCACAAGCUGUACACUGAUGUACACAUGUGCAUACACCCACCCACCCCACACACACACACACACACACACACACAAACAUAUACAGAAACUCAGCAUAAAUCUUGAAGUAUUUCUUAAGAAAAAAAAUAACAGCAAAAGAAAAUUGAAUGUAAAUUGGAGAAAGAAAAUCCAAUACUCUGUAGUAAAAAACUAAUCUGGAUUUUGAUACAUCUAUUUUCCUGUCGAAGUCCACGAUAAGGCUUUAUUGUAGCAUAAGAGCAUACUUUGCAUUACUUAAGUUAUUGAUGAUGAGCGACACUACCAGUAACCCCUGCUGUACAAGAGUGAUGACUUUAGUCUGCACCAGACUGUCUGUCUGUCGGCAGGGCCAGAAACCCACAAGCCUAAAUUUCUAAAGUAUAAACUCAGCAGACAGUGCUGACGGCAGUCCUUACAGGUGUGGUAGAAAUAGUUGCACUCCUCUAGGUGCAUACACUGUAUCUUUUUCUAUAUCUAAAAAAAACAAUCUACAGUAGGUUGCCUUACCUUGUGCAUGGUUAGAUUAGAUGUUCUCUCUGCAUUAUUUUAAAAUCCUUUGUACUUGGUUGUUGUUGUUUUCUUUCAUUGCAGUUGUAUUUCUCUCUGUCAAGAUUGUGCCAAAUAUUUUUGUUGUUGUUGUAAUUUGUGGUUAGUAGAUCUAAUACACACAUGUAUAAAAUACUAGUCACACAAAUCUUCUUUUUAACAAUACAUAUUGUCCUGUUCUUUACAUGCAAGUUUCUCAAUGGUGUAUGAAUAGUAAAGAAAGUGGGUUUACUGGAGUACUGUGUGACCCUACCAUCCUACUAUAUGUAUUUCAGUGAUAUUUAGGAUAAUGGGCAGGUAUAUUUCUCAAUGCACAGAAAAAUAGUUGGUUUUACUAAGUGUACCUGUUUAUGCCAGUGUACAAAUUAACCUCUAGUAUUGACAGUGUUAAAUAGUUUCUGCGUGAGAGUGUCUUUGCUAGCUUUAGGGAGGAGAGGGAAGAGGAGAUUGAGAGGGACGAUAUCUACUCCACAAUACAUGUGCUUCUGUGUCCUGCCAAUGGAAAACUCUCUGUCUGUGCAGCUGUGUUGUUCCUCCUAAGGUCAAGCAAUGUUUUACCAAUAGGCUCAGCUAAUCUUACUUUUUUUCUCUCAUUUUAAACACAGCGACCACAUGAUUACCUAUUAUCUAUGUUGAGUGAUAUAAACAAUAAAGAUUCAAGUGAACAUAACCUUAA